ACACCUCGGGUCUCCCGACGACGAAGGACGCAGCGAGGUGCGAUAAGUGACGUGAAAUGCGGAAUGCUGCGAAUCGUCUAGAUUUUGAACGCGGACGGCGCUUCCGGGGCCUUCCCCGGGAGCACGCCCGUCCGAGCGUCGCCCAAAUACCAUCGACCUCGGAUCGGGGCGAGAACACCCGGCGAAUUUAAGCAUAUUACUAACCGGAGGAAAAGAAACCAACAGGGACGUCCUCAGUAGCGGCGAGCGAAGCGGACGAUGCCCAAACCGAACCGCGGUUCCCGAGGGGGCCGCGGAGUGUGGAGAGGAUGAGCUCGCGAGGGGGCGGGACGGGUUCCAAUCCGUCUGGAAGGGCGGAGGCACGGAGGGCGAUUCCCCGUACGUGCUCGGUCCGUCCCCGACGAGCGAACGCAUCGGAGAGUCGGGCCGCUUGAGAGUGCAGCCCGAAUGGGGUGAUAGGUCUCAUCCAAGGCUAAGUACGUGGGAGACGCCGAUAGCGAACAAGUACGG
Molecule: ribosomal RNA, 510 nt
Filed under: uncultured eukaryote
Lineage: Eukaryota
Description: eukaryotic LSU rRNA
Rfam family: Eukaryotic large subunit ribosomal RNA (bases 154-510)
Source: RNAcentral